CCUACGGGGGGCAGCAGUGAGGAAUAUUGGUCAAUGGCCGGAAGGCUGAACCAGCCAAGCCGCGUGAAGGACGAAGGUGCCAAGCAUUGUAAACUUCUUUUGUCAAGGGACAAAAUCAGGCUCGAGAGCCUGACCGAGGGUACUGGAAGAAAAAGCAUCGGCUAACUCCGUGCCAUCAGCCGCGGUAAUGCGAGGGAUGCGUGGGUUUUCCGGAUUUAUUGGGUUUAAAGGGGGCGUAGGCGGGCUGUUAAGUAAGCGGGAAAAGCCCGGGGCUCAACCCCGGCGUGCAGUUGAAACUGGCUGUCUUGAGAGGACGAGAGGUAUGCGGAAUGCGCAGUGUAGCGGUGAAAUGCUUAGAUAUUGCGCAGAACACCGAUUGCGAAGGCAGCAUACCGGCGGCGAUCUGACGCUGAGGCACGAAAGCGUGGGUAUCGAACAGGAUUAGAUACCCGAGUAGUC
This 459-nucleotide ribosomal RNA is filed under the name uncultured bacterium. Its description in RNAcentral is "partial 16S ribosomal RNA". It matches the Rfam family "Bacterial small subunit ribosomal RNA", at positions 338 to 795 of the family's 1533-position model. The record is from RNAcentral.